CCGGCACGCACCCAAGCACUCAGCCGGCAAGGCCGAUCGACGGCGGCACACCGCAACACCCACGGCGACGCCACGACCAGUCGCAUAGCCCAGGCGGGAGGCAGAUGAAGAUAGCAUCGGACAACAAUUCUGCCCCGGUAUACUAUGGGCAAGCUUCUUCUCAAGAGAAACCCAUCAUGAUAUCUGCUCCAAGAAACAUAAGUUGUGGACAAAAAUGUACUGAAAGGCUAUGGACCCGUGGUCUUUGAUGACGACAUGAUGUAUUUUUGAAUUUGGAAAUGCAGGACUCCAUUUGCAAGUAAUCCAGUCCUUUGUUUCAUUAUUGUAGUAUAAGCAUAAUUGUUACCUUUUCGUAUUUAAAGAAUUGUCUUCUACUAAAUCUAAUAAUCUAAACCAAAAGUUAUAAAACAUACUCUUAUUUUUAAGUUGGAACAUUAUUGAUUUAAAAUUUAUGCAAUGUUAAAGGGAUACUAUUAAAGUGGUGCAUCAGGGUAACUUUAGCUCCAGCUCCGCCCCUGCGUACACCUCGCCUUUUUUGUGCGCCCCCUUCCUCCUCUGCUUGUACCCGCUCUCAAAAUCAUGGAGGUUGCCACAGUAGAGGUGCAGGUUCUCGUCGUGCAAAUGUAUGGUGUCGUCGCAGACGGUGUUGAGGAAGUCCCGACCGUGGGACACGGCGACCAGCGUCUUUGUUGUUCCACCGCGAGCAUAGGGUACUGCUCGUCGUGCACUGUAUUUCUAUUUGUUUUCAGGCCACUGAAGCUUACCUAGUCGGAUGUCACGGGGUGAUUGCUGAAAUGGAUUCAUUUGAAGCUUGCGCGGGACCAAUAGAGGCUUGGAACAGUGCGGCUCCACUUGUCAUUCAUUGAUUGUCGAGGAACCUGUAACUUCUCCAGUUCUCCGAGGAGGCCCCGUUUUGGUCAGGCUAACCAAGUUGCUAAUUGGAUUUCCAGAAAAUUUGGUCA
Long non-coding RNA from Triticum aestivum (bread wheat), 962 nucleotides. RefSeq lists it as uncharacterized. NCBI's taxonomy places the organism in Eukaryota, Viridiplantae, Streptophyta, Magnoliopsida, Poales, Poaceae. The record is from RefSeq and is a predicted model, not a curated record. The transcript has 3 exons.